Molecule: non-coding RNA, 73 nt
Organism: Deltaproteobacteria bacterium GWC2_65_14
Lineage: Bacteria; Deltaproteobacteria
Source: Rfam
AACCGCCGUAUACGGAACCGUACGUACGGUGGUGUGGGAGGACGGGGGCCGUAAGGCCCCCGUCCUACCCGAU